ACUACCGGAAACAGUAAAUUCGCCGAGUGUAAAAAUUUUGCCGAGUGCUUUCCUUCGAGCACUCGGCAAACAACCUUUUUGGCAAGUGUAUUAAACGCGACACUCAGCAAACAUAUUACACUCGGCAAUAAGGUCGUUUGCCGAGUGCCGUAAAUUCGACACUCGGCAAACCUCUCAGUGACACUCGGCAAAAGUCCGACACUCGGCAAACCUCUCAGUGACACUCGGCAAAAGUCCGACACUCGGUAAAUCAACGGCGCAUGCAUCGCACGUGCGCCGUCCGUCACCGGACUGGGGCGGCCGUUAGUCCUUUGCCGAGUGUUGGACUCCGACACUCGGCAAAGAGGCCCU
Molecule: long non-coding RNA, 351 nt
Filed under: Setaria italica (foxtail millet)
Lineage: Eukaryota; Viridiplantae; Streptophyta; Magnoliopsida; Poales; Poaceae
Description: long non-coding RNA (SITA_LNC001041)
Source: RNAcentral